Molecule: ribosomal RNA, 271 nt
Filed under: uncultured bacterium
Lineage: Bacteria
Description: partial 16S ribosomal RNA
Rfam family: Bacterial small subunit ribosomal RNA
Source: RNAcentral
UACGGAGGAUCCGAGCGUUAUCCGGAUUUAUUGGGUUUAAAGGGUGCGCAGGCGGAAUGGUAAGUCAGGGGUGAAAUUCUACGGCUCAACUGUAGGCGUGCCUUUGAUACUGCCAAACUAGAGUUAAGUUGAAGUGGGCGGAAUGUGUUGUGUAGCGGUGAAAUGCUUAGAUAUAACACAGAACACCGAUCGCGAAGGCAGCUCACUAAACUUAUACUGACGCUCAUGCACGAAAGCGUGGGGAUCAAACAGGAUUAGAAACCCGGGUAGU